RNAcentral lists this long non-coding RNA (2388 nucleotides) under Lynx pardinus (Iberian lynx). The record is from RNAcentral. Lineage: Eukaryota; Metazoa; Chordata; Mammalia; Carnivora; Felidae.
GAGUUGGGACCACUGAAGGACUCUGGAAGGUUCACAGUGGAGGCACUGAGAAAGAUGUACUGGAGGGGAUGAGGGGAGGGGAGGAAAGACAGUUAAGAAACUUUUGGAGUGAUUCAAAUGUCAGACGGGGCUGGGGUAAGGGUCAUCUUGAAGUCUUCUUCACUCACAUGUCUGGUGCUUGGGCUGGGAGAACUCAAACAGCUGGGGCUUCUCUGACAUCUCUCUCUCCAUGUGGUCUCUCCACUUGAGCUCUCAACAUGAGGUCUCAGGGACACUAGACUUCUCACCUAGCAACUGACAAGUGUCCCAAGAGAAGCUGCAAACAGGAACAGCAUUUGUUUUUAUAAACCUGGCCUUGGAAGUCAUUUAGCCUUGCUUCCAUUGCAAAGACCUGACCCGGUUAAAGGGAAAAAAUAUAAUCCAUCUCUUGAUGGGAGAGGUGUCAAAAAAUUUGUGGCAUAUUAUAAAACCACCACCUUGUCCUGACCCAGCAAACCUGGAGCAUGUAGCAUCUUAGAAGAUGUCUGGGUUUGAGUACUAAGGGCUGCAAGCUGGGAGAACAUAGCAUCUUGACUCCUUGAAGGACGAAACCAGUCUGCACAGUGACCUGGGACCUGGAGGCUUCUCAGCAGAGUGGACCAGAGUCAGGCCUGAAGAGUGAAGAGCCAGCUUCUCCAUAGUGACUCCAUGUGACAGAGACUGGGAACAGCAGGAGUGAGAUGACUGGACUCCCAGUUCAGAGGUCUAUGUGAGGGUUCCUGGUUGCAGACCACAGAAGCCAAUCUAAUUGUUUAACGAAAAAAAGAUGUUUUCAAAGAUAUUAUGCAGUUCACUGAAUCUCCAGGAAAGCCAGAGUGUUGGCUAUGCAUCUGGGCAUAAUGCUCAAAGACUACUAUAGGACUGCUUAUAAAGACUACCACUACCAGGAGCUUGGGUCCCAGGCUCCAUUUACAGCUUGCACUGAGGCUUGGCACUGGAUGCUACUGCUUGACCCUCUGCCACUACUGCUUCUUUGAGUUAGUAUGGCCUUUCCUCAAGGUGGUCAACAAACAGAGCUCAUGAGAUGUGGAGUGCUGCCAUCAUCUUAUAUUUAACCAUGGCCUCAAAGUUCAUUAUCCUAUGAGGGAGAUGGAAAACUAAAUUAUAAAGCUGCACUUUGCCAGGUAUGGAUGGAGAGGAAAACUCAAGGGAGACUCAUAAAUCAGCCUGAAGUGUCAAAGAAGGCUUCCCCAGAGGUGAGCUUAAUCUGAAUUAUGGAAGAAAUUUCCAGGCAGAUAUAAAUGCAGGGCUCUGUGGCUUGAGGAGCCAAGUACAAAAGGGGACAGACAGUAGUUCAGCAUGACUGGAGCCCAGGGUGCAGGGGAGGAGCUGGAGAGAGAGGAAAGGGCAGAUCAGAGAGGGCUUCAUGCCAGAGUUGGGACCACUGAAGGACUCUGGAAGGUUCACAGUGGAGGCACUGAGAAAGAUGUACUGGAGGGGAUGAGGGAAGGGUAGGAAAGACAGUUAAGAAACUUUUGGAGUGAUCCAAAUGAAAAAUGAUGAAGGUACAAACUACAGCAGGGCACUUUUAAAGAGGGUGGUCCUGAUUCCAGAUAAGUUAAGGAAAAUAGAUGGCAGCUGGGGACAUAAAGAGGUGACAGGGCACUAGGAAAAAGGGUAGGAGUCUAGAAUAACUCCCAAGUUUUCUCUUGGAUAGUGAGAUGGUUGCUGUUGCCAUUGAUCGAAGAAAUAAAGGAAACAGAGAGAGAAGCAGGUUUGGUUAGUUAAGGAUAUUUUGAAGCUGUGAGGUUUUUGGGAGCCUAGGAAAGAUGUAUAGGAUGCAGUAGGAAAUAUGAACCUGAAAAAUCUGGUUCUAGAUUUCUGGAAGUAGCCAGAAACCCAACCUAGAGAAACCACAUACACCUGAAUUAAUCCUGAUGGUCUAAAACCCUGCAAUUGCACCCAAGUGGGUUCCUUUCCAUCUUGUCCAGUGCACCCUCUCUGUGUGCUGAGUAAUCUUACAUUCUGCCCACUGAGAUCACUUGAAAAUCUCUUCCUUGAUUGCUGUGUUUGAGUGUUUGUGUUCUCCCAAAACUCAUAUGUUGAAAUCCUAAUGCCCAAUGUAAUGGUAUUAGGAAGUGGGGUCUUUGGAAGGUGUUUGGGUCAUGAGGGUGGAGCCCUUAUGAAUGGAAUUACUAUUUUUACAAUAGAGACUCCAGAAACCCCACCUCUCUCCCACCGUGUGAGGGUCAGUCGUGUACAAACUGGAUGACAGCCUUCUCCAGGACCUAACUACUCUGGUGCCCUGAUCUUCAACUUCCAGCCUUCAGAACUGUGAGAAAUAAACUCCUGUUGUUUAUAAAUCACCCAAUCAGUGGUAUUUUGUUACAGCAGCCCAUACAGUCUAAA